GCCCCUGUAGCUCAGCUUGGAUAGAGCAGCUGCCUCCUAAGCAGAAGGUCGCGCGUUCAAAUCGCGCCAGGGGCGCCA
Molecule: transfer RNA, 78 nt
Rfam family: tRNA
About the family: Transfer RNA (tRNA) molecules are approximately 80 nucleotides in length. Their secondary structure includes four short double-helical elements and three loops (D, anti-codon, and T loops). Further hydrogen bonds mediate the characteristic L-shaped molecular structure. tRNAs have two regions of fundamental functional importance: the anti-codon, which is responsible for specific mRNA codon recognition, and the 3' end, to which the tRNAs corresponding amino acid is attached (by aminoacyl-tRNA synthetases). tRNAs cope with the degeneracy of the genetic code in two manners: having more than one tRNA (with a specific anti-codon) for a particular amino acid; and 'wobble' base-pairing, i.e. permitting non-standard base-pairing at the 3rd anti-codon position.